CAGUCAAAAGCAGAAUGCCAGUUGUAAAUCGUUCGUGACAGCUUCUUAGAGAGUAUUAUUACUGCUGUGCAACGCUGGAGCCGCCAACGAUGUGCUGACGAUACGGAGGACUGACUGGUGCAAGAUUAGAGUCUUACUCUGCAACAGCAGCGAUGUCAUUUAGCAAACUAUAGUAUUCUCUAAAUCCUGCGUGUCCUUGACAGGCUGAGGGGCUACCAAUUCGCCCGCACUGCCUUCUCAGAGUUGCCAGAAGCACCGCACGGUGCCGGGCAUCAACUCCUGGAGUGCGCAGCAGCGCCAGGACAGCCGCUGGAAGGACACCUCCAAAAGCCAAGAAAAUAGGACACAAACACGGACGCUAGCUGCUUUAAAGAGUGACUUACCCGAGCGGCGUGUCCACAUCUGUUUUCGGAAACGACGCCACUCUCUGUUGAGUUUAAAGGCUUCAGCGAAGAAGUGCAACUCUCCGCCUUCCGAGAAGGCCGAGCCAAUCAGAACGCGCGGAGGGCGCUGCUUCGUCCAAUCAGAUCGUCUGCGUGGAUAGAAGCCGUGAAGUAGGAAGGGCGGACGGCGACAUCAAGUGUUGGAAGAGGAUAUCCCUCCGCUUUGGUCCUGUUUUCAACACGACCAGCUGAUUGUGCACGUUGGAAUGAUUUAGUACCAAGUGUUUGUAACAGCCUGUUAAACAUUGUUGAAUUCCACGGGUUUGAUAAUGUACUGUAAUGUUUAAAUCGGCGGACUUGGCGUGCUUACUCAAGAUUCACAUUUAGUUUUACAGUAAAAACCAAAACAAAAAAACACAGUGCGUCUCCGUCUGUUGAAGCACAUUUCUUCGCUGUAGUUCAUUUUAAGUUAAAUAGAAGUAAAAACACAGUACCCAGUACUUUCACUAUCGUUGCACUAUUUUACCCAUUCUCGGCGGAAGAACACUAUUGUUUACAGUGAGCGGAUGAGUGAUCUACAGUGGCAGAAAACAGCGUGGCGCGCGACAGAAGUCCAACAGGAAUGAACAUUGGCACGAGCGCGCGUCUGGAGCGUCCAGGUGUUGACGUCACGUAAUUCUUUCAUCAAAACGUUCGUGUUUGCGCACAAAAAACCCUCAUCUUACGUCUGGGGAGUACUGGAGAAAAUACCUUUAACCUUUUGUUAUUUUCACUGUUGUUACUCUUUGUUUAUUAUUUGUGUUAGUAACAUGCAAAGAAAAGUCUCUCCUACUAUGAAAUUUUCCCUGUAUUUGGUUUAUUGGAUGAAUUGAUCAAACUUUGAAAUUGUAUGACAUCAUGGAGAUUCUAUAAUGUGGUUGUUGAUAUAUUGUGUUUAAUAUGAUAACAGCGUUUUUGUUUCAAUCCACUUACUCUACUCAUUUAAAUCACGUGACACCCACGUGAGUAUCUUUAAAUGUAACACAAUGUGAAGCUUGGUUUGAAAAAUAAUGAAUAAUCUAAAAGAAAAGAUGGUCAUGUGACUGAUGAAGACAUUUCAGGUUAUAUUAUUUAGUUAUUCCCUCUAAUUUACGUGCUAUAAAUUGGUCAAACAAAGAAAUGGAUUAAUUGUUUCGAUAUUUUUUAAAACAAAUUCCUCAUUAAAGCAGCACACCAGUUCUGUCUGUGUUCUGACUCCAUCUCUCAGUUUUGGGCAGCUGAGAGCGAUGUUCUGCGGAUGAGAGGCGUGUAAGAGAGCAUCCCUCUUUACAGUGACCUGCCGCUCCGCUGCACUCCAGAGCAUCCUGUCAGCUGCUUAGCAACGGUCAGUGUCCAUGGCAACGGGUGCAACAAACGCCCCCUCCUGAUGCACACUUCAAUUAGCCCCAAAUUACUGCAAUCAGAGGAGGAGAGUCACGUGUCCUCGUAAUAGACAGAAACCUCGAGCAAUAACAAUCACCAGCUGCCAGUAAAGAAGAAGAACAAGGCAUGAAGGAGGAGGAGGAGGAGGAGGAGGAGGAGGACUGCACUCCUCGACUGAUGGGGUAUACGAGCUGUUCUGAAUCCUCUAAACAAUUGUAUCAAUCACAGAAACUUUUUUAAUUAGGAGAAAACUAGAGUCAAAAAAGAAAGAACAAAAAUAGACAACUGUUGCCAUCUAGUGGAUUAAAAUAUAUGACAAGAAAUAUUAAAUCGUCUUCAGUCCAUAAACGUAGAAGGUUUUGGUGUUGUUGUUUUUUUUUAAAUGUAUGAUUGGAAUUUUAAUUAACAUCAUUUCAGACAGGAUGUUCAACCUGAUGACUUUAUUUUCUUCUUUGAAUCACAAUGUUAUACUUUUCAUUAAUCGAAAUACUUUUUCAUUAUCUUGAUUAUUUUUUAAAUCACGAGGCAUUUUUAAUCAAAUGUUAAGGAAGGAUCAAUAGAAAAAAUAUGACAUUUAAAUUAUUAUUAUUAUUAUUUGGACUUGUAUUUUUAAACUGAAUUCACUGGAAUAAAUCACUAUUUGGAUGAAAUGUGCUGUUAUAAAAUAAGUCGCCAAAGGAGGGAGACAAAGGCUUAAAAUGCUCCGAGGGCUGAUUUGCAGGAUCUCCAACAGGGGGCGAAAAACUGCAGGAGCCCCUAAUAAAAAGGUACAAAAAUGA
This 2563-nucleotide long non-coding RNA is filed under the name Takifugu rubripes (torafugu). RNAcentral's name for it is "lncRNA (ENSTRUG00000033014.1)". Lineage: Eukaryota; Metazoa; Chordata; Actinopteri; Tetraodontiformes; Tetraodontidae. The record is from RNAcentral.